This 722-nucleotide long non-coding RNA is filed under the name Sarcophilus harrisii (Tasmanian devil). RNAcentral's name for it is "lncRNA (ENSSHAG00000028533.1)". Lineage: Eukaryota; Metazoa; Chordata; Mammalia; Dasyuromorphia; Dasyuridae. The record is from RNAcentral.
CUUGGACUGAGUGUGCCUUUAAAGUUCUUUCCUAAUUCUUCUCCCUUUGCCAUUUAGGCCUUGCUAGAUAAUGGGGCAACUAAGUGGAACAGGCCUAAAACCAGGAAGACUCAUCUCCUAAGUUCAAAUCUGACCUCAGAUACUUAGCAGCUAUGUGAUUCUAGGAAUAAUCAGACCAAAAGGGAAAAAAAAUCAUGAGGAAAGAAAAAGCAAAAAAAAGAUUCCAUCUUGCCAAGGGUAGCCAAAUCUUCAUCUUAGUUAUAACUCCAGCUAUGGCACAGUGGAAAGAGUUUGAAAUCAGAAGACCAGCCUUAUCUGUAAAAUGGAUAUAAUGACAUCAGUCCUAGCUCCACUAUAACACGGAAAUGAUCAGAUGACCAAAUUCAUGGAAAUACAUUGAGACAUAAAAGCAUCAUUUUGUAAAGGUCUAUCCAUUUACAACACAAGGUACCACUCUACAGAAAGCACUCCAUCACUAAUACAAGUUUGAACUGCACUUGAAGUUCUCCUUGAGUGGCCUUCAUGAUUGUUCUUCUAGAAUCAUCUCCAUCUCUGCUUGACUGGACAAUGGUAAACAGAUUUUUUUAAAGAAAAUAGGACAAUUCAUUUGUACCAGACCUAUGGAAUCAUAAGACAAAGAUACAUUUGCCUGUUGUUUUAACUACCACUUUUAAAUAUUUCUGAGAUUAUGGUUUGCUAAAUCCUUUCUCUUGUCCUCAUCU